Long non-coding RNA from Vespula pensylvanica (western yellowjacket), 705 nucleotides. RefSeq lists it as uncharacterized. The record is from RefSeq and is a predicted model, not a curated record. The transcript has 3 exons. Lineage: Eukaryota; Metazoa; Arthropoda; Insecta; Hymenoptera; Vespidae.
UCUCUCUCUCUCUCUCUCUCUCUCUCUCUCUCUCUCUCUCGCACUUUCCCUCUAGACUCUUUUUCCACUUCGAUCGUUACUCGCCGGUCAUACAUAUUAUCGUUGCUACGACGCUUCAACGACAGAAGAGUGUGUGAAAGUGCUAUACUUCUUGUGUAAUCCGAGGUAACGAGAAAGAAGAAUUGAACAUACUUGUUGGAAACAUAUCGCAACGAUAGGCAAAGAGACGGCCACGCACGAGAAUUACGUAGAUGCAUAAAUGAACACUCUCCGUUGGCCGGUGAUCUAUCGAAGAAAUCGACGCAUAUCAAAGUUCGGCUGUUUAAAGAAAGAAAGGAAAAAAGAGGAUUUAUAAACGAGAUUCGUCGAGGUUGUUUAUCAGGUGUCAAUUUCUCAUCAGGGUACUCGGUACUGCAGUUAUGAAAUAGCAAUGAGCCUGCAGGUUCAGGCCCAUGUGCAACGCCCCGCGAGGUAUACGCCUCAGGAAACCGUCAAGAUUUUGGUUGGAUCUUUUUAAAAACAAAGAAAAAAAGGGCGGAGAAGCAUUUUCUCCGAGGAUACUCUUUCCUAAAGAUAUUUACUUCUUUCAAGUGCUAAACGCUUGUUCGAAAAAAAAGAAAUACGUUUCGUUUAUAAUUUUUUGUUUGUUGAGUUUGUGCGCACUCGAUAAUAAAUUUAAUAAUACCUACAUACAUAGAUAUAAUA